GCAUGAUGGGAAGAAGCAGCCUGACCUUUGUUGGGAAAAGUUAGAUUUUAACAUGGAGGCUGCUAUCCCAUGUGGCAGCCAUCUUAAGGCAAGGGAAAUGUAACAUUCCAGGCUUUUUGUUUAUGGUUACUGGGCAAAGGCCUCUUCUUCUGGAGCUGCUUCAAGCUGACAAAGGGGAGAAGGCUGGCUAUGGAAGAGGCAGUUGUAUCUAUGACUCAGGAUGAAGUCUGGGGAUUCCAGUGUCUCACUGGGCAUCGGAAAUUCCUGACUGGUGAACACCCUUCAAGUAGUGGGAUAUCAAUUAUUCAAUGCUCUUGCUCUUGGCUCCUGUGAGAAAGGAAGAGUGAAUCUACAGAGACACAUUGAAAUCAGGCCAACUCCGGUGGCCUGCAGGGAGAAAUGCAACAGUGGAACCGUAGCAGUGGAUGUUGUGCUACAACAGCUGAACAACAAAAACCUGGUGACUGCCCUGAGGUGCCUAGAGGACAAUUUGGGAUUUGUGCUGAAGCUUGCUCAGGAGAUC
Fukomys damarensis (Damara mole-rat) is the source of this 523-nucleotide long non-coding RNA. RefSeq lists it as uncharacterized. The record is from RefSeq and is a predicted model, not a curated record. The transcript is spliced from 4 exons. Lineage: Eukaryota; Metazoa; Chordata; Mammalia; Rodentia; Bathyergidae.